This 878-nucleotide long non-coding RNA is filed under the name Oryctolagus cuniculus (rabbit). RNAcentral describes it as "lncRNA (ENSOCUG00000029767.1)". Lineage: Eukaryota; Metazoa; Chordata; Mammalia; Lagomorpha; Leporidae. The record is from RNAcentral.
UUUAAUCUCUGAUUUAUUGCAGGAUGUGACUGGUGAAUGACAGGUUCAACAUACCUAAUGUACUUAUAAAGUUCCUCUCUUGUGUGGGUUUGUUGGUGCAUAUUGAGGCUAAAAUUUUCAUGUUUAGCUUUUUCUAUUUGAGUUGCUUUUCCAAAAGUGACAGUUGAUUUAUUAUAGUUUUCUGCCAUAUGAAUCCUCUCGGAUUUAUAAAACAUCUUUCUUGUGCAGACGUUUGCUUGUCCAGUGGGUCCAAAUGGCUGCUUCAUGAUGUGAAUAUUGUCAUACUGACCAAGAGGCUCACAGAACUGGAGAGAAUUUCCAGGUGGAGAAGAGUGAAAUGUUCCUGUACUUUAAGCAAGACAACAUUUAAAGAGUAUGAUUGGAAUCUAUGAUUGUCUUACAUUCAGUCUUCCCAGAAUCAUGUGGAGGGCCUAGAAUCAUACCUGGGAGAGAAGGUGAAUGGCAGGAGUUCAAUGAAAACUCGGGAGGCCAACGCUGUGGCAUAACGGGUAAAGUUGCUGCCUGCAGUGCCAGCAUUCCAUAUGGGGGCUGGUUCAAAUCCUUCCUGCUGAAUGUACAAUCUAGCUCCCUGCUACGUCCUGAGAAAGCAGUGGAACAUGGUCCAAGACCUUGGGCCACUACACCUGCAUGGGAGACCCAGAAGCUCUUGGGUCUUGGCUUUGGAUCAGCUCAGCUUUUGGCCUUUGCAGUAAUUUGGAGGGUGAGACAGCAGAUAGAAGGCUUUCUUUCUCUCUCUCUCUGCAACUCUUUCAAUAAAUAAAUGAAACUUAAAAAAACCCUCUGGUUUCCUCAUGCACUGAACAGUGGGAAAAAAAGAAUAUGAUAGAAUGAAUAAAGAAUAAUAAAUACAAUAACCA